Molecule: unclassified non-coding RNA, 342 nt
Filed under: soil metagenome
Description: partial contains 5.8S ribosomal RNA, internal transcribed spacer 2, and large subunit ribosomal RNA
Rfam family: 5.8S ribosomal RNA (bases 1-120)
Source: RNAcentral
GAUGAAGAACGUAGCGAAAUGCGAUACGUAAUGUGAAUUGCAGAAUUCAGUGAAUCAUCGAAUCUUUGAACGCACAUUGCGCCUGCCAGCACUCUGGCAGGCAUGCCUGUUCGAGCGUCAUUUCAACCAUCAAGCCCCCAGGGGCUUGUGCUGGGGCCCUGCGGCUGCCCGCAGGCCCUGAAAACCAGUGGCGGGCUCGCUAGUCACACCGAGCGCAGUAGCACAUCUCGCUCAGGGCGUGCGGCGGGCUCCUGCCGUGAAACCCCCCACUGUAACCCCAAAGGUUGACCUCGGAUCAGGUAGGAAUACCCGCUGAACUUAAGCAUAUCAAUAAGCGGAGGA